UUGAGUUUAGUUUAAAUAAAAUAAAUUAUUUACAUUAAUUAGAAACUUUAUAGUAGCUUAAA
RNAcentral lists this transfer RNA (62 nucleotides) under Dendrocerus sp. ZJUH_2016009. RNAcentral's name for it is "tRNA-Val". Lineage: Eukaryota; Metazoa; Arthropoda; Insecta; Hymenoptera; Megaspilidae. The record is from RNAcentral.